AAUCACUGAAACAAGAGGUUUCCAAGAGGUUACCUUCUGCUCCUCUUAAUUCAGUGGUAAAUGAGUUCCAGUUUUUCCACAUCCUUGCCAGUAUUUGAUGCUGUCAGUCUUUUAAACUUCAGCCAAUUUAUGAGUGAUAUCCGCGGCAUCACAGCAGUCGAUGGACAUGCUCGGGGCACCUCCAAGUUAUUUUCGGGAAAUAGAGCAACAAAACACAACGCUAAAAUUUCCGAUCGAAGAAUUCUUCUAACAAUUUAACAUUAGCUUUUUGCUUAUCUUCUGGAUUACCACCCUCUGUUUCCCCCUUUAGUGGAAAAGCCUGACUUACUAUACUGCCAAAAAAUGACUCCACUACAGGAAACACCUUAGAACAUAGUUUUGAAUCACACUAUCUAACUGCAAACUUGGGGAUGGAAUGAGGCAAAUACCUACAAAAAAGGAAGCAAAAACCUGACAAGAAAUGCCUGAAAUGAGGACAAAGGUUGGUCAGAAAGUGCCUGGACUGAGAAGUCCAGGAGAUCAAACGUUAAACGCAACUCUGGACCCAAGUUAGGUUGUGUUAAUACAUGGGAUAACCAGAUAGUUUGCACUUCUAUGGCUAAGCCCAUUUCUCUGUUUAUACAGACAGAGCUAGCACUGCUCUGUUAACAGCUACCAAUAAACUGCUUUGUCCUUUAAGAUCUAUUUGCCACAUGAGGCUGAAACCACUAAAUGGAGUUUUUGCGCUAAGGCUACUAACACUGCGUCUAUGCAAGGAUGGGAAGCUUGUCACACACUCACACUCACACGUCCCAAGUCCGUCAGCCUUGGGGAGUCAGCUUCCAACUCUGCAUUAUUUUCUUCCACUCUCAUCUUUUUAUAUGUGUUCCCUCACAAUUUUCCUAUCACACUAAAGAUGGUAAAAAUCUCAAAUACAUUCACACCUGGUUCUGGUUACC
Bubalus bubalis (water buffalo) is the source of this 938-nucleotide long non-coding RNA. RefSeq lists it as uncharacterized. NCBI's taxonomy places the organism in Eukaryota, Metazoa, Chordata, Mammalia, Artiodactyla, Bovidae. The transcript has 3 exons. The record is from RefSeq and is a predicted model, not a curated record.